AAAAAGACAAACCCUGGGUUUCCGUGUCCAACUUUGACUGUCCGUCUCAUAUGAAAUUUUUUUAUAAUUCGUAUUUUCGUUGUUGUUAGAUGAUAAAAUAUGAUUAAUAUGCGUGACUUGUCUUUUUUUUUUAAUAUUUUUUUCAAAUAAGACGGACGGUCAAACGUUGGGCACAAAAACC
This 181-nucleotide microRNA precursor is filed under the name Oryza nivara. RNAcentral describes it as "MIR812 microRNA precursor family". It matches the Rfam family "MIR812 microRNA precursor family". Lineage: Eukaryota; Viridiplantae; Streptophyta; Magnoliopsida; Poales; Poaceae. The record is from Rfam by way of RNAcentral.